GGGCCCGUAGCUCAGCUUGGACAGAGCAGCAGCCUUCUAAGCUGAUGGUCGCGGGUUCA
Molecule: transfer RNA, 59 nt
Filed under: Candidatus Micrarchaeum acidiphilum ARMAN-2
Lineage: Archaea; Nanobdellati; Microcaldota; Candidatus Micrarchaeia; Candidatus Micrarchaeales; Candidatus Micrarchaeaceae
Also listed under: 1 other name
Rfam family: tRNA
About the family: Transfer RNA (tRNA) molecules are approximately 80 nucleotides in length. Their secondary structure includes four short double-helical elements and three loops (D, anti-codon, and T loops). Further hydrogen bonds mediate the characteristic L-shaped molecular structure. tRNAs have two regions of fundamental functional importance: the anti-codon, which is responsible for specific mRNA codon recognition, and the 3' end, to which the tRNAs corresponding amino acid is attached (by aminoacyl-tRNA synthetases). tRNAs cope with the degeneracy of the genetic code in two manners: having more than one tRNA (with a specific anti-codon) for a particular amino acid; and 'wobble' base-pairing, i.e. permitting non-standard base-pairing at the 3rd anti-codon position.
Source: Rfam by way of RNAcentral